RNAcentral lists this small RNA (12827 nucleotides) under Pyricularia oryzae. Its description in RNAcentral is "Magnaporthe oryzae sRNA M_BR32_EuGene_00111741". Lineage: Eukaryota; Fungi; Ascomycota; Sordariomycetes; Magnaporthales; Pyriculariaceae. The record is from RNAcentral.
UUAACAUUUCUAAAAAGAAAAUUUUAUUUAAAACUAUUUAAUAUAUAAACCGGCCGAUUUCCGCACGCCGGCGGAAAUAACAACGAAAAUAAAUAUAAUAGGACGAAGAUAAACAGCGGAACGGUCGCCAACGGCGGUAAAUAUUUAUUAAUUAUAUUAAUUAUUUUUAUAAUAAUCAUAUUUUUGCGGAUCCGAUUCGUAAUGAUUUAAAUAUUUAAUUCCUUUUUCGUACUGAAUAUAAUAUUAGGGCGCGGCGGUAAAAUAUUGGGGCCAUAUUAGUUAAAACGGUAAAACGGACCGCGUAACGGGGUUUUGUUAGAAACGGCGGCGCGUAUUUUGGCAAAAUAUAAUAAAAACGGAAAAAAGAAAUUCCGAGUAGGCGUUUGGGCGGCGAAAAUAAAAAACGCAAAAAGGAUUACGGUAUAAUUAAUUCAAACGUUUGUAAAAACCAAAACGGGGCCAAAAAUUAAAAAUAAAGAUACGGUUAAAAAUACCGUAUACGGGCCAAACAGUGCGGUAAAAAUAAAUAAAUAAAUACCGUAUCAGGCGGGGUUCGGGACGCGUAUAAAUAAAAUAGUAAAAAUAAAAAUUGCGGGCGUUAGUUUCGCGUUAAAUAAUAGCGGAUUCGCGUUCAAUUUCUAAUAACUAUUAAUAAUAUUUAUUAGCGCGUUUUUAAUUAAAUUAAUUAACGCCCAUUCGAAUUACGGGCCGGAAAAAAAUAAAUUCUUAUUCUUAUAUAUUUUAAAUUUUAGGUGAAAUUAAUAAAAGAUGGUUGGGCGAUUUUAUUACCGUCGUUAUAAUAUACCAAAAAUUAAACGUUGCUGCCGUAAAAAUUUGAAAUCGCGCCAAAAAGAUUUUCCUCCCAAAACCAAUUAUAUUUACGUAUAUAAACGGUAUAAAUAAAAUUAAAUUUUAUUAUUAUCUUAAUAUUAUACCCCGAUUUGAUAAUUUUAAUAUUAACGUUAUAUAUUACCAAUAUUUUGGAAGGAAUAAUAUAGCACCCGUUGAUUAUAACAUAAUAUAAAUUAUUUAAUUAACGACGCAUGAAAAAAUUCCGGAUAUAUAAUUUUUCGGUAUAAUUGCAAAACAAUCUUUUAUAUUUAUUACACCAAUUUUAAAACGUUGCGGCAAAAUAGGGGCGAUAAUUUAAAAUGUUAAUAAUUUUCGUGAACUGAAUAUAGAAAAAACAAACCGGAAUAUACUAUUUAAACGCGGCGUAUUUUUCGUCGUUGGAAUUAUUUUCGAACUUAUUUAAACCGGUAACGCGACGGACACGUUAUAAUUACAGUUGAUAAAAAACGCGUCCAGGGUAAUACCAAAACGAAUUAUUAUAAAGCUUUUAAAAUUACUAAUAAAAAUAAUAACGGUAUUGCAAAAAAUAAAACUGUUGAAUUGUUUAAAAUUAAUAAUAACGGGGAAAAAAGGAGAUAAUUCGACCGGAUUGGCAAAACUACGGUUAAAAGUAAACGAAAAUAUAAUAAUAACGAAAAAACAAAUGUAAUUGGAUCGCAAAAAAAAUUAAUUUAAAAAACCCAGGGUACGGGGAAAAUACGAACGGAAAAAUAAUUAUAUUAAAAAAAAAACAUAAUAAAAAAGAAUUUAAUUUGGGGGGAAAAAAGACGCAUAUAACAAAAAUAUAAAAAAAGAAUUUUUCUACCGGUUAGCGGUAAAACCGCAAACGAAAAAAUCAUAUAACGGGGCAAAUAAAAACGAAAUGAAAAAAAAACGAAAACAAAAAAAAAAAAAUAAACGGGGUAAAAACGGGGCUAAAAUGAAAAAAAAAACAAAACAGAAAAAAAAGGAAAGCGGAUAAAAUUGGGGGAAAAAAUCCAAUAACGGAAUGUAUUUUUCUAAUUUAAAAAAAACGAUAAACGCGAUAAAUAUAAUAUUAUCCGGCAAUAUAUAGUAAUUGUACCGUUUAUAUUAUAUUUGAAAUACGAAAUUACCCCGAAACCAAUAAUAUAUGGUUACGGGACCUAAAUAAAUCCGCGGAUAUAAUUACGCCGCCCCGAAAUCCACGUCGCGCCCCAGGGGAAAUAACGGGGUAAUUUACGCACUCCCCGCCGCGAUCCAAAAAAACUGCCGAAUAAAAUUUCGUUGGGGGGAAAAGGAGGCGGUAAAAUAAAAACCCGGGCCUCGGGGCGGGAAAAUUACGGCUUAUAUAAUUUUUGGACCGGGAAAAAGGGGUUAUAUUAGAAAUUUGUAUUAAUUAUACGUAUUUCCGUAUAUAAAUAAUAGCGGGAAUUAUGUAAUAAUUAACGUUAUAUAUAAAGGAAAAAGAAUUGCCAAGGCUUUUUCCGUACUUUUUUCUUCCUUUUCCUUUUACGAUAAUAAUAAUAUUUUUCGGGUACCUAACCGUCGUAUAAUUAUAAACCUACCCUAUAAUAAAUAUAAUUAUUUUGAAAAUUAUUUCCUUUUAUUUUUUAAUAUUUGUAACGUUAUUUAAAUUAUUAUUUUAUUUUUUGACAUCUUUCUUAUUUUCCCUGGUUAUUACAAAUUGGUUAUUUCCGCGUUUGUCCUUUUUUUAAACGACUGCGGAUUUACCGUUCGCAGAAACGUUGCUUUUUCCAGUAUAAUUAAAAGGCCGGUAUUUUGGUUUCCAAUAUAUAUAAUUAUUUUUAUUUGUAAAAAUACGCGAUUUUUAUUAUUGUUUGUUUUUAAGCGGGUAACGGUUUUUAUUACAGUUUCCUUUUCUAUAUAUAAUUUAUAUUUUCGGUUAACGAAAAACGUAUUACAAAUUGUAUAUUGUUUUUCCAAGCUUAAUAUUAUCGUAAUUUGGUUUAAUCACAAUUCCGUAAAAACAACCGCCGGAUUUGCAACGAUUAUUUUGAAUUUUUAAUCGUUUUUAAUAGUUAUUAAAAUCGCGGCAAUUAAAUAUUUUUUUAUAUACAAAUUUGGGUUCCAGUAUUUGUAAGUAUUUUUGUAAUUUGUUUACAAUAAUUGUUAAAAUUUUGAAAUUCCGUUUACCCUAUGAAUUAAAUAUUAUUUCCACGGUUUUAUAAUUUAUCAAAUUUUAAUAUUUGUAAUAUAUUUACCGUAUAUAUAUAUAUAUAUUUUUUUCAUCGGUUUUCAAAUUUUAUAUAUAUUUUUUUAUACUUAAUAUAAAUCUUUAUAUUUCUAUCUUUUGGCGUUUUUUGUUAAGACUUGUAAAACUAAUAUAUAUAUAUAUGGGAUAAUUGUAUUUAUUAUAUUUCGUAAAUAAUUAUAAAUUUUCUAAUUUUAUCGUUCAAAAUAUAAUUUGAAUUCCCUAAAUAAUCGUUAAUUUAAAUUGUUUAAAAACGCCUUUACCAUAUACCGUUCCAUUCUGCUAUUCGGAAUUUGGAAUAAAAUUAAAUAAUUAUAAAUAUUAUAUGUCGCGUAUUAAACCACCGCAAUUAGCCACAAAGGCGUGCAUUCCAACUUUUAACAAAACAUUUAACCACAUUAGAUUUAAAUCGGGCUGAAACCAAUUAAAUUAUCAACAGCGGUUUUGUUUCCGCUUUUUGUUAAAAAUAAAGCAUUUAUUUAUUUAACCUAACGCAUUUUUUAUUUAAAUACGAGUUUCUAACGCGUAUAAUAUUUUGUAAUUUCUUUAUCUAGGAUUAAAUUGGUAUUGUACGGAAAUUUGUUCGAUUAUAUAAACCCAAUUGAGUAAAUAUAUAUAUUUAAAUAAAAUAAACAAAAAACAACGUUUACAAUAAUUAUAAAUCCGGAUAACAUUUAAUCCAAAAAAUUAUAUAAAUCGUUUAUUUUAUUGGCAAAUUAUAUAGUUUAUACGCUUAAUAUAUUCCUGUAAUAUUUGCUAUUAAAUUUCUUUUUUACCAAUAUUUCCGCAAAUUAUAUAUUUGCGCAUUAUAUUUUAUUUUUCGGAAAAAGGAAUUUACUAUUAUUAUAUUCCGCACGUCGAAGAAAUUCUAUGUAAAUUAACACCACCAAAAAAUCUUUUUUCGAGGAUUUUUGGAACGAAAAAACUAAUUUAAAAAAACGUUAAAAGUUGGAUGCAAAUAACGAAUUCGACGAAAAAUUACCAAUAUAUUAAAAGUUCGGGAAAUGGUAUAAUAAUAUAACGUUCGUUCCAAUUAUUUCUGACGUAAUUAAAUAUUGUAUCGACGUUUCCUCUAUAAUUACCAAAUUAAUUAAAACAAAUCUCAUAAAAUAAAAAGACGUUAUAAUAUAAUAAAAAUAAACGACGGAUACCCAAUUUUUCCUCCGUAUUUCUUAACUUUUAAUUAAAUGUUUGGAAAAUGUAAAAAUAAAUAUAUUUCGACGUAAAUACCGGGAUUAGUUCGAUAAGAUUAAAUAAAAAAUAUAAACCCGGAAAUUUAAAUAUAAACUAUAUAAAAAGAAUUUAUAUCUGUUAAAAUAUAUAAUAUACCGGAAAUCCAAAAUAUAACCGGGGUUGUUAAUUUAUUAUCGGCAACCACGGCGGCAAUAUCAGUUUUUUGGGGAAUUUACCAAUUCCACAAAGUAAAUAAAAUAAUAAUUAUGGAAAAACCAUUUAUAAAUGUGGAAAAAUAUUUCAAGAUUUUCGGAAAAUAUACAUAAUUAAAAGUAUUUAACCGAUGAAAUCCACGUCCAUUUCCGGUAUUUAUAAUAAUAACAAAAAAUAAUUUGCAAAAGCAUUUGAACGAAAAUAAUUUGAUUUACAAAAGAUUAGUAUAACAACACCAAUAUUUAUAUAAAAAUACCAAUAAUGAAGAAUAUUGCUAAAAACCAAAAGAAUUAUAACAAAUUCCAUUGGGUUUUAAUAGGUACGAAACAAUAGGGAAAAUGGAAAAACUUUAAUAUAAAUUCCGACGGAAAAAACGCAAUUUUACAAAAAUUGUCAAAAUUUAAAAAUUAUAAGCAAUUUCGCCAAAAUUUGGUACGGAAAUUCUGUUAACAAAAGAUUUCAACGGGGAUUUUAAAUUUGUAAAACAAAGUUCGAGGAUAUAAAAAAAUCACCAACAAAUUUCGAACAAAUUUAUAAAUUAUAUCCUUAUAUUAUAUAGAGUAUUUAAAAUACCGGAAUUGGUAGUCGAAAUAUUUGCAAUUGAAAAAAAUAUUUAUUUUUUGCCAAUAAUAUUAUUAUUAAUAAUAAAAACGCAAUAUAUAUUAGUAAUCUAAUAUUAUUAAUGGACGAAAAAAUAUUUUGUCCAAUAAAUUUUAUUAAUUUAAUCGCAAGCGGUAUAUUUACGUUGCAAAUUUAAAAAUAUAACCGCAAAACUUGUGAUAAUUUAUUUAAUGGAAAGAGUUUAAUACUAGAGGAAAAUGUCUUAAUUCUAAAGUUCCACAUUAAUAUAAUUUCCGAAAUAUUAACUGAUAAAUAUAAACUAUAAUUUUUAUAAUUGAGUUUUUUUUAAAAUACGGCCCAAUUUACGCGAAUACGUUAAUUUUACAGCUUGAAAAAUAAGAAAACCUAGCUUUUUUCAAUAUAAACUAAUACCGUACAAUUCUUUUACCUUUCCAACUUUAACUUCUUUUUCGGAAAUCGAAAUUAUCGUUAUAAUAAUUAUAUAUAAUAUAAUAAAACGGUAUAAAAAGAUUUCUAAUUAAUAUUAUAAACCUUUGAAUUAAAAAUUAAAAUAACACGCAUUUGAUAUUUACGCGUUAAUUAUUCAAAAUAAUAAACGUUAGGACGGUUAAUAUGAAAUGUAAAAAUGGUAGAGAUUAUGGAUAAUAUUUGUAUAAUUUGCGAAGAUUGCGCGGAAAUAUACGCAAACCAAAUAAUUUUACGGCGAACCCUAAAAGAUUGCCCCUAUUGAUUGUUUUGGGAAACAAUUUGGAUUUAUAUAUAUACCCCCAAAAAUAUAACGGAACCAAAUAUUUAUUAGUAAUUAUAUUCUUUUUUUGCGGAUUAAUUUAUAUUAUUUUUGUAUAAUUUCUUUUGGGUUUUGAAUUUUUUAAUAUUAUUAAAAAUUUCGGGAAAUGGGUUCGGAAAUAACACGGUUGUAUAAUUUGCAAAAUGCGGAGCGAGAUAAAUUUGGUAAUAUCAAACUAAUUCUAAAACCUGAAAAAAAUAUAAUUUGGGUAACAGAAAAGUAUUUAAACUAAUAUUUAAUUUUGCAAAUAUAUAUAAACCAAACGGGAAGGUUAAACGAGCAAACCACAAAAUAUAAAUUAAAAUUUUGGUAAUAUUAUUAGGAGUAUAUUUUUCCAUUAAUUUGUAACCAAAAACAGCGAAAACGGCCGCUUGGUUAUAUAAUAAGUUAUUUUGCGCAAAAUCUUAAUUUAAAUUAUGGAUUCAAAUUUCAAAUAAAUAAAUAACCACGCAUUUCUAAACUAUUCAUAAUUAUUUAUUAAUUAACGUGCAAACGCCAAAGAAAUAUAAAUAAGUACAAAUCUUUAUAAUAUAGCGUAAUUAUAUAUAAAUGCAACAUUCAUAUAAUAUAUAAAAAAUAAUUACAAAAAGCAAACCGCAAAUAUUAUAAAAUUAACGAAAGGAUUUAUAUUAAUUAUUUUGUAAAAUACGUUUUCAAUAUUAUUUACCGGAUUUGGGCUCUAAAUUUCCGUCGUGUACCUACAACUCGUGACGUAAUGUUUAAUAAAUUAUUAUUUGUUAAUUUUAUAAACGGAAAAACAGUUUUAUUUCCGAAAUAAUCUAAUUUACCGUCGAAAAAUUAAAUAAAAAAAGUUGAAUAUACCCAACACGUUGGAGAUUUUGUUAAAUUACUCGUCGAAAUAAAACAUACAAUUGUUUUUAUAAUUGCGUAACAAAUACCAAAAAAAACCAAAAAUUAAAUAUUGGUUUUAAAACCCCAAAAAUUAUAUUAAAAUCUUCUAAAGGUCCGGAAAAAGGAAUUUCAAUUAAAAAUAUUUUCGGAGAUUAAUACCGUAAUAUGGAUUAUUAUACCGUUAAAAAAAUAGAAAAACCAUUUUUACUAUUAUAAUAAAGUUAUCCAUUGAAAGCUUAAAUAAAUAUAAAAAUUCCAUGAUAAAUCGCACCAAAACGCCGCCGUAAACCAGCAAAAUCGAUAAAUAAAUAAUGGGGUCCGCCAAUAAAAAAAAACAAUUGGAAUAACGACAAAAUAUAAAAUAUAUUUGCAAUAUUCGCGCAUAUAAAUAAAACAAUUGCGAAACGGGAUUGGUAAAGUUUUGCGGAUAUCAUAUAUUAUAACCCAAGAUCCGAAAAUAUGCAAAUUAUAAUAUAUAAUGUUUUCGCGGUUGCUACCAAUUUUUUUAAAACAAUUAAUUAAUUCCAAAAAAUAAAAAAACAGGUUUUAAUAUAUAUAACGUGGAGGGCUUUAAAUAUUCGAACAAAUUCCCGCCACCAUCCAAAAAUUAUAAAACCAUAUUUAAAUAUUUAUGAAAAAACGAUUUUAAAUACGCGAUAAACGCGGAAAUAGGCUAUUCCCACGUUAAAAGAUUUUACAAAAAAAUUCCAUUUACAAAAUAUCCGAAAAGAAUUAAAUUAAUAUUAUUUAGAUGAGUUUUUUUAAUAUUAAUUUAACCAGGACGGUUAUUUAAUUACAUGCAAAAUACAAAUUUGCGUCAAAAACGAUUUUCAAAAAUUAUAAAUGGAAAUAUAUAUAAUAAUAUUCGGGGUUAACUUAUUUCGCACGGUAUUGGUAAUAAUUGCGGAAGGAAAUAUAAAAACAAAACAAACAAAUAUAAAAAAGACCUAGUUUAAUACCAAAUUCGUUAAAAACCAAAAACCAAUAUAUUAUUACCUGCCCCCAAAAUAUAAAAAAACAAAUAUAUUUAUAUUUUUGCUAAGAAUUUGAUAUAGUAGAAAAAGUCGGUUCUGUUAUAAUAUUAGCGUUUUUCUAAUAUUUUCCACAAUUUUAACCGAAAAUCCAACGCAAAAAAGAUAUUUAUUUUAUUCCAAAAAUUAUAAAAUUAUUACUAUUUUUUAUAUUUAUAAUUUCCCAAUAAUUUAUUAUAAAAAAUAAAAAAUAGGGGUAAUCUUUAUAUCCGUUUUUGAAAAAUACAAUUUCCCGCCAAUUGAAAAUUUGCGAUUGGUUUUGGGGAUAAAAAUUAUUUAAAACCGAAAAUAACGGUGCAUUUAUUUUGCAUAUAAUUUAUAUAUAAAAGAAUUGGCGCAGAAAUACAAUUCGCACAAAAUGGACAAGCUUUUCCCCGCAAUAUUGUAUUUUAUUACAAGAUUGUUACCAAAUCAGGGCGAACCCGGAAAUAAAUAAUUUAUGCGGGUAUAUUAGGAAAAAACGGGAAAUUUAAUAUAUAUAUAAUUCUAAUAAUUUGUUUCGACGUUAUUUUCGCCGUUUUGAAAUUAUCCAGGUAUUUAACCAAUUUAUUACAAAAAUAUAUAAAUGCGGCAAAUUAAAUUAUACGCUACCUUUUUUCGACGCGUUUUUUAGUAAUUCGUUUCGGAUUUUGGGAAUUUUACGAAUUUUUAAUAAUUGCGUUUAAUAUAUCAUUUACCAAUUUAGUUAAAAUUAUAUGUAAUUUAUAAAGUUUUUGAUAAUAUUUAUAGGCGCUAACAGGGAAUAUAGGGGUAAACCUUAGGUGCGACGUGGUAAAUAACUAAUAUUAAAAUGCGCUAAAUAUACUAAAAUGGAACGUUAUACGCAAAUGGAUAUUAAUAUAUUAGUUGGGGGAUUUUGCUUUAUCCUUUUAUAUAUUUUCCGAUAUCGAAAUGGGGGUCGGCACGCCAAAAAGGGUUCCGGUGCCGCAAAUAAAUUUCCGAAAAAUUAAUUUAUAUGGGUUUGUUAAAAAACGCCCUUAUUUAUUAAUAAACCAUUUCUGGGUUCGCACGCACUCGUUAAUUUGGUAAGAUUUUUUAACCUGGUACAGGGUAAUUAAUUCGUAAAUGCAGCGUGGAUAUUAAACCCGGUACAGGGUAAAUAACCCCAUUUGCUAAUUUUUAAAUCGCACUCCUACAUUUAACAAAUUAACGGAGUUCCAACCACUCCAUUUCGGCAUCAUAUAUAAUAAGUUCUAUAUAAAUAACAGCGGGCUUAUUACAUGCAAAAUAAUGCAUAUAAUUAACAGUUUUAUAUUUAUAAUCGGGGGUGGUUUAAUAUAUUAAAAGUUUUUAAAAUAAAUUAUAAUUUCACAUUAUCCACAGAAUUUAAAUUGUUAGUUUUGGAAUUAAUUGCAGAAAAGGUUUUUGCGUUUGAAAAAUUAUUAAAUAAUUUUAAUUUAAGCAUUUCCGGCGCAAUUAAAAUAUUUUAUAAUAAUAUGCAAAUAAUUCGGGCCGGUUUUAGGGCAAAAUAAAAGGAUUUUAACGAAAUUUAAAUAUAUUAUCAUAUAAAAUAUAAAUUUACGGCAAUUAAUUUAAAGCGGAAAAAUUGCGGUGGAAUAUUUAUCAACGAAUUUUAUACCUGCGGAGGGAUUAACGAAAACGUUUAUUCGAUCGCAAUUUGAAUAUUUUCGAAAAUUAUUAAAUUUAUAUAAUAUAUUGAAAAUGUAAAAAAAAAACAGAAUUUACUAAAUUUAUAUAUCCGGGAUCGCGGAAUAUUUGCUAUUUUUACCGCGUAAUUGCUACGGUUAAUAUAUAUUUAUUAAAUAUAUUAUAUUUUUAUUACGUUUAAUAUUUAUUAAUUGUACGUAAUACAAAUAAAAAACGUUUUUUGUUAAAAAAAGUAAAAACAAAAUUUCUUUUAAAAAUUGCUAAAAAUUAAAAUAUAGGACGAAUUGCGGCGCAUUUUAUAUUUUUGCGCCAUAAUAGGGUAUUAUAAUUUAAAAAUAAACGCCCUAUCAAAAUACCGCCGGAAAACAACCAAACCGUCCGAAAAAAACAAACCUUUCAAAUUACAACGGCCACCGCUAUUAAACCGCAAAAAAAUUGUUUGUACCGCAAAAUAUUUAUAACACGCGUUUUAAAUUUUUUCCGGCAAUAUAAAUUAUAAAAAUUUCCGUUCGAUUUAUCGAAAAAAUAUCGAUUUUCGCGGCCGCAAUACCAAUUAUUUUAUUUUGAAAAUUUUAUUGCGUUUGCGGAAAAUUAAAAAAAUAAAACAGACGCAAUUAAUAAUAAUAAGUUUGUAACGUAUUUUUGUAUUUUUAUUUUUACGCGCGAUAAUAACCGCGUUAAGUAUAAAGCGGAAAUUAAAAAAGUUAAUUGGUUAAUAUAAAAUCGCGGUUAAACAAAUGGUUUGUUCCGUUUAUAUUAAUUUAUAUUUGCGGUAUUUUAAUAAUAAAUCCAACAUAUACAUUUCCCAUUUGUGGCCAAUUUGGUUUUAAAAUUAUAAUAAACCGGUUCGUUAUAACUUUUAUUAUUUAUUACGGAUGAUAUGCAACAUUAGCAAUAAUUUUCGGAAACGCGUUUACCGGCGCGUUUCGCCGAAUUAAAAUCAGCGUUAAUAAAUUAAUAACCGAUCUAACUUAUUUUCCGUCAAUUGAACUAAAAAUGGAAUUUAAUUUUACAAUUUGCGCCGUAAAAAUUUUAAUAACCAAUUUAAUCCGGGUUUUUUUACGUUUGGCGGCGCGGCGGUCCUCCCUUUUUUCCAUUCGCUUUAUUAUAAGGUAUUUGUUUCCAAAAAAAAUACCCGCAAAAGUUUUUCUAAAAAAGGUUUAAUACAGAUUUUAUUUAAAAUUAAAUAGUUAAUUUAUUUUCUUAUAUUUGUCCACAAAUCCCAAUUUUUAAACGACUUUUUUCCGGUCAAAAUUUUUAAAUUUGGGUAAAAGUUCGGGCGUAAACGCCGAAAACCUGGACUUUGCAUAUAUAUUUUAUUAAAGAUUAUUAUUAAAAUUAAAUUAACUAUAAUUUAAAAUAUUUGCGCCAGAAAAACCCAAAACAAAAUGCGAUAUUAUAUUUUAAAACCAAAAUAAUCCGAAAACAUUAAAUUUGAAUAAAAUUAAUUGCAAUAUUAAUUUACGUAUUGCGAACGCCGAAAUAACGGUGCAAUUAGGAAAAUCGCGUUGCAAUAAUACCAAAUCGCCCGAAAUUUCAAGAAAACAAAUUUAAAAAGCAAAAAUUAAAUUGCAAACAAUUAAAAAACGUAACCAAACGGCCGCAAAUUUUUAAAAUUAUAUUUUUUUAUGUUUUUUAAUCUUAUUUUUCCUUUAUUAAUUUACUUUUAUUUUACUUUGAAUUUAUCUUUUCCUGCAGUGGUCCGAACGGUUGGAUUUGGUAUUUGCGCGCCGGAUCGGGGAUAUAUCGCGUAUGAAACUACGGCAAUUAAUUAUAGAAACGUACCAUCCAAUUGUUAAUAAAACAUUUAACCAUAUUUGAUCUGAAUUGGGCUAAAACCAGCUAAAUUAUCAAUAACGGUUUUAUUUCCGUUUUUUAUUCGAAAUAUAAUAUUUAUUUAUUUAAUUUAACGGUUUUUUUAUUUAAGAACGAUUUUGCAACGCGUAUAGCAUUUUUUCACUUUAUUUUUUUAAGACUGAAUUGGUAUUAUAGGGAGGUUUGUUCGAUUAUAUAAACCCAGUUGAAUAAAUAUAUUUGUUUGAAUAAAAUAAAUAGAAAAUAACGGUUAUUAUAUUAUGUAUAUAAUAUUAUUUGGGUUUAUUACAAAACCCCGUAUAUUUAUUUUCGGAAUUUCCGAAUUUUUAUUUUCGUUGGAAUUUUAAUUUGGUAUAAAUUCCGAAAAACCCCUAAAUUUCUAAAUUGCAAAAAAAAUAAUUUCGAUCGCCCCCGUUUUCAUAUUUUAAUUUCGUUUAUUUUAUCAUUUGUUUUUCGGAAUAAUAUUUAUUAAUUCCUUUAUUAAUUUUAAAAAUAACAUUUUAGUAUUCCGUUCGUUUAAUAUUAGAACUGUGUUAAACAUUCCUUUAAAUUUAAAUAAAUUUUUUUAUUUAAUUUGAAUAUUUUUGUAAAUCGUUUAUUUUAUAUACCGCUCGUUUUCUUUUUGAUAAUAUAAUAUUGUUUAUUUCCAAAUUACUUUUUAAUAUAUUUGAAAAUUAAUAUAUUAUAUAAUUUAAAAUAUUUUUGGUUCCGACCAACAAAAUAUUUUUGGUAUUUAUAAAAAAUAUCUUUUUCGUUUUCGUUAUAUUAGUUAAUAAUUUUUGAUAUUUAUAUUUAUUCGAGUUAUUGUUAAUUUUGCCGGAUUUUUAAAAAAAAGCCCGUAAAAAUUAUUAUAAUAAAAAUCUGCCUCGACUUUUUCUUUAAAACACGCUGGUAAUUUUAAUAUUAAUAUAAUUAUAUUAAAAUGGAUUUACUUUAUAUUUUAUCGUUUGUUAUCGCUUUAGAAACCCGAUUUUGCGCUUAUUAUACCGUAUUUUAUUUUUUAUAGAAUAUUAUUACUUCGUUUAAAUAAGUUAUUAAUUACAAAACAAUUAGUUUAAAUAAUAAAAUCCAAAGUUUUUAAUUGGUUAGGACGGAUAUCUUCUUUGUAUUUUUUUGCGUAACGUUUGUAUAAACGUUAUACGCUUAAUAUAAAAACUUCAAUUUAUAUUAACGGUCUUCUAAUAUUAUCCGUAAAAUAUUUUAUUAGCUUUAAAUAUUUGUAAAAUAACAGUAUUAACGAUUUAUCCUUUUAUUUUGUUUUUUGUAUUAUUCCAAUAAUAUUAGUUAAUUUUAAUUGGUUUUUCGUAUAUAAAUCAAUUAACAAACGUUAUUAUGGGUAAAAGAUAAUAUACUUUUAUUUUAUAAUUAUAUUAUUUACGUUCGAAUUCUUAAUUGUGUUUUUCCCUUUUUAUACCCUUGGUAGAGGAUUAAAUAAGUUAUGUGCGGGUCCUGUGGGGCGUCCUAAGUAAGUUAUUAAUUAAAUUAAUAAGUCGAACGCAAUUUCUUAUAUUCUAACAAAAUAACUAGUAUUAUUAAACGGCUGGGAUAUAAAUUAUUUGUUCAAAUGGGAAAAUAAAUAGAAAGUUGAUAAUAUAAUAAAAAAUAAUUAUUUUGUAAGAUUAUUAGUAUAUAUAAUAUUAUAAUAUAAAUACUGUAAAUAAAUAUUGUUUAUAUUAAUAUUAAAUUUUAUAUAAAAGGUUGUAAUUUAAAAUAUAAAAUAUACUCCCAAUUAAUUCUUUUA